GUAAUAAAUCGGAUCAUCGCUUUAGGUUAUAGUCUUAGGACAAUGGUCUAGAGAGGAAAGUCCGGACUCCAAAUGGUAGCGCAAGGGGUAACGCCCCUCCAUCCCUAGGAUGAGGACCAGUGGAACAGAGAGAAUGUCCAGAGCAUUGAUCUAUUGAUCGGGAACGGGAGAUCGAUAGGGAGUUGCUGGAGUGAAAGCAGCUAAACUCUGCGUGGAGCAAGAUCAAAUAGGAGAGCGUUUUAAGUCUAACCAGGACGAGGCUUUCGGGUUGAUCGCUAGAGGUGACUAGAGAUGGUCAUCCCAGAUGAAUGAUGAUCAGUCAUAAAUUGAUGCGACAAUUUAUGUCUACAGAAUCCGGCUUAUAGAUUUAUUGCAUUC
This 378-nucleotide RNase P RNA is filed under the name Pseudobdellovibrionaceae bacterium. RNAcentral describes it as "Bdellovibrionaceae bacterium RNase P RNA component class A". It matches the Rfam family "Bacterial RNase P class A". Rfam says of the family: Ribonuclease P (RNase P) is a ubiquitous endoribonuclease, found in archaea, bacteria and eukarya as well as chloroplasts and mitochondria. Its best characterised activity is the generation of mature 5'-ends of tRNAs by cleaving the 5'-leader elements of precursor-tRNAs. The record is from RNAcentral. Lineage: Bacteria; Pseudomonadati; Bdellovibrionota; Bdellovibrionia; Bdellovibrionales; Pseudobdellovibrionaceae.